GAUGAACGCUGGCGGCGUGCCUAAUACAUGCAAGUCGAGCGAACGGACGAGAAGCUUGCUUCUCUGAUGUUAGCGGCGGACGGGUGAGUAACACGUGGAUAACCUACCUAUAAGACUGGGAUAACUUCGGGAAACCGGAGCUAAUACCGGAUAAUAUUUUGAACCGCAUGGUUCAAAAGUGAAAGACGGUCUUGCUGUCACUUAUAGAUGGAUCCGCGCUGCAUUAGCUAGUUGGUAAGGUAACGGCUUACCAAGGCAACGAUGCAUAGCCGACCUGAGAGGGUGAUCGGCCACACUGGAACUGAGACACGGUCCAGACUCCUACGGGAGGCAGCAGUAGGGAAUCUUCCGCAAUGGGCGAAAGCCUGACGGAGCAACGCCGCGUGAGUGAUGAAGGUCUUCGGAUCGUAAAACUCUGUUAUUAGGGAAGAACAUAUGUGUAAGUAACUGUGCACAUCUUGACGGUACCUAAUCAGAAAGCCACGGCUAACUACGUGCCAGCAGCCGCGGUAAUACGUAGGUGGCAAGCGUUAUCCGGAAUUAUUGGGCGUAAAGCGCGCGUAGGCGGUUUUUUAAGUCUGAUGUGAAAGCCCACGGCUCAACCCGUGGAGGGUCAUUGGAAACUGGAAAACUUGAGUGCAGAAGAGGAAAGUGGAAUUCCAUGUGUAGCGGUGAAAUGCGCAGAGAUAUGGAGGAACACCAGUGGCGAAGGCGACUUUCUGGUCUGUAACUGACGCUGAUGUGCGAAAGCGUGGGGAUCAAACAGGAUUAGAUACCCUGGUAGUCCACGCCGUAAACGAUGAGUGCUAAGUGUUAGGGGGUUUCCGCCCCUUAGUGCUGCAGCUAACGCAUUAAGCACUCCGCCUGGGGAGUACGACCGCAAGGUUGAAACUCAAAGGAAUUGACGGGGACCCGCACAAGCGGUGGAGCAUGUGGUUUAAUUCGAAGCAACGCGAAGAACCUUACCAAAUCUUGACAUCCUUUGACAACUCUAGAGAUAGAGCCUUCCCCUUCGGGGGACAAAGUGACAGGUGGUGCAUGGUUGUCGUCAGCUCGUGUCGUGAGAUGUUGGGUUAAGUCCCGCAACGAGCGCAACCCUUAAGCUUAGUUGCCAUCAUUAAGUUGGGCACUCUAAGUUGACUGCCGGUGACAAACCGGAGGAAGGUGGGGAUGACGUCAAAUCAUCAUGCCCCUUAUGAUUUGGGCUACACACGUGCUACAAUGGACAAUACAAAGGGCAGCGAAACCGCGAGGUCAGGCAAAUCCCAUAAAGUUGUUCUCAGUUCGGAUUGUAGUCUGCAACUCGACUACAUGAAGCUGGAAUCGCUAGUAAUCGUAGAUCAGCAUGCUACGGUGAAUACGUUCCCGGGUCU
This 1373-nucleotide ribosomal RNA is filed under the name uncultured bacterium. RNAcentral describes it as "bacterial SSU rRNA". It matches the Rfam family "Bacterial small subunit ribosomal RNA", at positions 28 to 1381 of the family's 1533-position model. The record is from RNAcentral.